GACGAACGCUGGCGGCGUGCCUAAUACAUGCAAGUCGAGCGAACCGACGAGGUGCUUGCACCUUUGACGUUAGCGGCGAACGGGUGAGUAACACGUAAGGAAUCUACCUAUAAGUGGGGAUAACAUCCGGAAACGGGUGCUAAUACCGCAUAAUAACCGACACCACAUGGUGUAAGUUUGAAAGAUGGCUCUGCUGUCACUUAUAGAUGACCUUGCGGUGCAUUAGCUAGUUGGUGGGGUAAUAGCCUACCAAGGCCAUGAUGCAUAGCCGACCUGAGAGGGUGAUCGGCCACAUUGGGACUGAGACACGGCCCAA
This 316-nucleotide ribosomal RNA is filed under the name uncultured bacterium. Its description in RNAcentral is "bacterial SSU rRNA". It matches the Rfam family "Bacterial small subunit ribosomal RNA", at positions 28 to 334 of the family's 1533-position model. The record is from RNAcentral.